RNAcentral lists this ribosomal RNA (253 nucleotides) under uncultured bacterium. Its description in RNAcentral is "partial 16S ribosomal RNA". It matches the Rfam family "Bacterial small subunit ribosomal RNA", at positions 524 to 776 of the family's 1533-position model. The record is from RNAcentral.
GACGAACCGUGCGAACGUUGUUCGGAAUCACUGGGCUUAAAGGGCGCGUAGGCGGCUUGGUAAGUCUCGGGUGAAAUCUUUCGGCUCAACCGGAAACGUGCCUGGGAUACUGCCAAGCUGGAGGGAGGUAGGGGCGGAUGGAACUUCCGGUGGAGCGGUGAAAUGCGUUGAUAUCAGGAGGAACACCGGUGGCGAAGGCGGGUCUCUGGGCAGUAACUGACGCUGAGGAGCGAAAGCGUGGGGAGCGAACAGG